CACGUAGGAGGCGAGCGUUGUCCGGAAUCAUUGGGCGUAAAGAGCGCGCAGGCGGCUUGGCAAGUCGGGGGUGAAAGCCCGAGGCUCAACCUCGGAACUGCCUUCGAUACUGCGGGUCUCGAGUCCGGGAGAGGUGAGUGGAAUUCCUAGUGUAGAGGUGAAAUUCGUAGAUAUUAGGAAGAACACCAGUGGCGAAGGCGGCUCACUGGCCCGGUACUGACGCUGAGGCGCGAAAGCGUGGGGAGCAAACAGG
Molecule: ribosomal RNA, 253 nt
Filed under: uncultured bacterium
Lineage: Bacteria
Description: partial 16S ribosomal RNA
Rfam family: Bacterial small subunit ribosomal RNA
Source: RNAcentral